AACGCAAAUUGCACUCUCUGGCAACCCGGGGAGUAUGCCUGUUUGAGGGUCAGUGUUAAUAAAAAUCGGUGCGUUGCAAAUUUUUUUGUGAUGUUUCCGGAGUUUGAGUUAUCUUAAUUUAACUCUUCUGGGUUUUUUUAAGAGGCUUAAAAUUGACAUUUUUUGUGCAUUUUAGACGUACAUAAAUUUUUUUUUAUUCGUCUAUCUUAAUGCCAAAAUCUAUUAGAUGCGACCAUAUCAUGUGGUUUCGUGUCCAUAAAUUUUUCAUGAUUUGACCUCAAAUCAGGUAGGAACACCCGCUGAACUUAA
This 309-nucleotide unclassified non-coding RNA is filed under the name uncultured Glomeraceae. RNAcentral describes it as "sequence contains ITS2". The record is from RNAcentral. Lineage: Eukaryota; Fungi; Glomeromycota; Glomeromycetes; Glomerales; Glomeraceae.